GAUUGAACGCUGGCGGAAUGCUUUACACAUGCAAGUCGAACGGCAGCACGGGAGCUUGCUCCUGGUGGCGAGUGGCGAACGGGUGAGUAAUAUAUCGGAACGUAUCCAAUAAUGGGGGAUAACUAGUCGAAAGAUUAGCUAAUACCGCAUACGCCCUGAGGGGGAAAGCUGGGGAUCUUCGGACCUAGCGUUAAUGGAGCGGCCGAUAUCUGAUUAGCUAGUAGGUGAGGUAAAGGCUCACCUAGGCUUCGAUCAGUAGCUGGUCUGAGAGGACGACCAGCCACACUGGAACUGAGACACGGUCCAGACUCCUACGGGAGGCAGCAGUGGGGAAUUUUGGACAAUGGGCGCAAGCCUGAUCCAGCCAUUCCGCGUGAGUGAAGAAGGCCUUCGGGUUGUAAAGCUCUUUCGCAAGGGAAGAAAACUUAACCUCUAACAUAGGUUGAGGCUGACGGUAC
Molecule: ribosomal RNA, 458 nt
Filed under: uncultured bacterium
Lineage: Bacteria
Description: bacterial SSU rRNA
Rfam family: Bacterial small subunit ribosomal RNA
Source: RNAcentral